UCGUUAGACAGCUAGGGCAAACACCCUUAGCCAUAGGAAAUAGGCCAGGCCCCCGAGGUGCCGCGGGUCGAGGGCGUCCGAGCAGCUGAUUGGGAGCAGACGACGCGCCCGGACCUCUCGCUGGCCGGACGCGGGCGGCCAAGAUUAUAAAUAGAUCUCCUGGCCAUUUCUGCCGGGUUUGUGAGUGAGGCCUGAGCCUUCGUGAAGAAGCCUCCUUCCCCUCCUCUCUUGCUCUCGCUUCAUCUCACUUUUGACCUUCCGAGGAGCAUAAGGGAAAAUUAGCCAGAAUGGAGCUCUCGUUGGUGGAUCAGUUACGAGAGAAGCUCGAAAAGGCUAAAUUGUCUCGCGAAGAACUGCAGAGAAUUUUUCCUCCGAGCAUUUUUAAGAAGGACAGCAGGACACCU
This is a long non-coding RNA of Penaeus monodon (black tiger shrimp), 404 nucleotides long. RefSeq lists it as uncharacterized. Lineage: Eukaryota; Metazoa; Arthropoda; Malacostraca; Decapoda; Penaeidae. The record is from RefSeq and is a predicted model, not a curated record. The transcript is spliced from 3 exons.